This 520-nucleotide ribosomal RNA is filed under the name uncultured bacterium. Its description in RNAcentral is "partial 16S ribosomal RNA". It matches the Rfam family "Bacterial small subunit ribosomal RNA", at positions 28 to 507 of the family's 1533-position model. The record is from RNAcentral.
GACGAACGCUGGCGGCGUGCCUAAUACAUGCAAGUCGAACGCACUCUCGUUUAGAUUGAAGGAGUUUGCUCCUGAUUGAUAAACAUUUGAGUGAGUGGCGGACGGGUGAGUAACACGUGGGUAACCUGCCCUAAAGUGGGGGAUAACAUUUGGAAACAGAUGCUAAUACCGCAUAAAACCUAACACCGCAUGGUGUAGGGUUGAAAGAUGGUUUCGGCUAUCACUUUAGGAUGGACCCGCGGUGCAUUAGUUAGUUGGUGAGGUAAAGGCUCACCAAGACCGUGAUGCAUAGCCGACCUGAGAGGGUAAUCGGCCACACUGGGACUGAGACACGGCCCAGACUCCUACGGGAGGCAGCAAUAGGGAAUCUUCCACAAUGGACGAAAGUCUGAUGGAGCAACGCCGCGUGAGUGAAGAAGGUUUUCGGAUCGUAAAACUCUGUUGUUGGAGAAGAAUGUAUCUGAUAGUAACUGAUCAGGUAGUGACGGUAUCCAACCAGAAAGCCACGGCUAACUACGUG